UAAUUUUGGUGUGAGGAGUAGGUGUGGGUGUCCUGUUCCCCUAUCUUAAGGCAAACCCUCGCUCGUAAUCGCAAUCGCAAUCGCAAACGCAAGUUUGGCAUGGCAGCCUCAUCUUCAUCUCUCUCUUCCUCAACCGACUCUUCUUCUCACCGUCGUAAGCGUCAGCACCGCAAUCGCCGAGACCGUGAUAAGGAAACCCUAAAGAUCCGAAAGAAGACCAAGUCCCACUCCCAAACCAAACGACGCCGCAAGCACCACCACCGCUCUUCCGAUUCCGAUUCCGAUUCCGAUUCAUAUUCUUCAUCUUCCAUCUCUGAUUGCUCCAGAAGUCAGAGUAGUUCUGAUAGUGAGCAUGAAACAUCUCAUCGAUCAAAGAGGCACAAAAAGAGCAUCAGACCCAAGAAGAAUAAGGAAAAAGAUAGAAGUAAAAGUCACCACCAUAAGCGGCCAAAACAUAAAGUAAAAGAGUUUUUUCUUUCCAGACACAUAAGUUUUGUUCAUUCGAGUCUGAGAUGCUUAUGAUACUUUCUGCCUAUUUUAUGAUUUGCUCUUUGAAAUUGGAGCUGGGAUCUGUGACAUGUUUGGGGGCGCUUGAUUGACUUGCUUGGAUGUUGUUUCUUGAUCGGGGUUGUCCUGGCAAUGGGAGCUUUAUAUAGAAGCAUCAUGAUGAGAGGAGGAGCAGCCCUGUGCAGCUUUCCAAGUUUUUAGGGCGUGACAAAGAUGAUGGUGUCCGUCGCAGUGCUGUAUCCGGCAAGAAGAUUCUUCUGAAACUUGAAAAAACAAAGGAAGAUAAGGUAGCUGAAAGCAAGAGAAAUGAACUGCUGAACUUUUUAAAUGCUAGUUUUGAUUAGCAUUGAGAAGAUAUGGAUUUGUUAGGGGGUACAACUAAGUCAGCGAGGAGCCAAGUUUACUUGGGUGCCUAAAUUAUUUCUCCAUUAUAAGAAUCAGAUAGUCUACCAUUUUUAUUUUUAUUUUUAUUUUAAGGUCUGGGGGGAUAAAUUAUAAUUGUGCUUACCAUUGAAAGACUGAGAUUGAGUUUGUUCAACAUGUAUGGUUCACGAUCAGUGGAUUCCUCUUUUCUGGAAUUGGCAGUGGGAUUUUAUAGGAUAAUGUGUUUUUGACCCAGUGGAUUCUUCACAUGGUAUUUUUAGUUUAGGCAAUUGUUGUGCUAAGUGCCACGACCUCUCUCUCUC
Gastrolobium bilobum is the source of this 1193-nucleotide RNA transcript. It is a transcript of the gene named protein PXR1, with no coding region annotated. The transcript has 6 exons. The record is from RefSeq and is a predicted model, not a curated record. NCBI's taxonomy places the organism in Eukaryota, Viridiplantae, Streptophyta, Magnoliopsida, Fabales, Fabaceae.